AGGUCAUUUUGGGGACAAUUUCUUAUUUGCCUUUUGUAUCUUUCCCAAGCCUCGUACAAAGACUCCCCCACUUGUUGCUCAAAAUUAGUUAUGGCCUUCUUGAGUUU
Small nucleolar RNA from Lactuca sativa (garden lettuce), 107 nucleotides. Lineage: Eukaryota; Viridiplantae; Streptophyta; Magnoliopsida; Asterales; Asteraceae. The record is from RefSeq and is a predicted model, not a curated record.